CAACAUUAGAGAACGAACACCUAAAUGCACAGACUUCAGACAGUGAUUCACUCAUCAACCAGUCACCCACUGAGGAAAAUACUGACCAACUGUUCAUCGAUUUAACAGAUGAGAAAACGGACAUGGAAUCUUUAAGUGAAUGGCGGAGGAUGCGUGAGGAGCAGGAUGAUGAAUAUAAUCAGUCUUUGAUAGCAGAUCAAGCCAAAGAACUGCAGAAGAUGAAUAGCAAAGAAUCUGAGAAUAGACGCAGAAAGG
Long non-coding RNA from Carassius carassius (crucian carp), 255 nucleotides. RefSeq lists it as uncharacterized. The transcript is spliced from 3 exons. NCBI's taxonomy places the organism in Eukaryota, Metazoa, Chordata, Actinopteri, Cypriniformes, Cyprinidae. The record is from RefSeq and is a predicted model, not a curated record.